RNAcentral lists this ribosomal RNA (253 nucleotides) under uncultured bacterium. RNAcentral describes it as "partial 16S ribosomal RNA". It matches the Rfam family "Bacterial small subunit ribosomal RNA", at positions 524 to 776 of the family's 1533-position model. The record is from RNAcentral.
UACGUAGGGUGCGAGCGUUGUCCGGAAUUAUUGGGCGUAAAGAGCUUGUAGGCGGUUUGUCGCGUCUGCUGUGAAAAUCCGGGGCUCAACCCCGGACCUGCAGUGGGUACGGGCAGACUAGAGUGUGGUAGGGGAGACUGGAAUUCCUGGUGUAGCGGUGAAAUGCGCAGAUAUCAGGAGGAACACCGAUGGCGAAGGCAGGUCUCUGGGCCAUAACUGACGCUGAGAAGCGAAAGCGUGGGGAGCGAACAGG